Acanthosepion pharaonis is the source of this 111-nucleotide non-coding RNA. The record is from the annotation of a GenBank genome assembly. Lineage: Eukaryota; Metazoa; Mollusca; Cephalopoda; Sepiida; Sepiidae.
UGGACAUAUCAUAUUGAAAUACCGGUUCUUAUACGAUCACCGAAGUUAAGCGACGUCGAACCCGGUCAGUACCUAGAUGGGUGAUCGCUUAGGAAUACCAGGUGCUGUAAG